This 483-nucleotide ribosomal RNA is filed under the name uncultured bacterium. RNAcentral describes it as "partial 16S ribosomal RNA". It matches the Rfam family "Bacterial small subunit ribosomal RNA", at positions 30 to 506 of the family's 1533-position model. The record is from RNAcentral.
AUUGAACGCUGGCGGCAGGCCUAACACAUGCAAGUCGAGCGGAUGAAGGGAGCUUGCUCCUGGAUUCAGCGGCGGACGGGUGAGUAAUGCCUAGGAAUCUGCCUGGUAGUGGGGGAUGACGUCCGGAAACGGGCGCUAAUACCGCAUACGUCCUGAGGGAGAAAGUGGGGGAUCUUCGGACCUCACGCUAUCAGAUGAGCCUAGGUCGGAUUAGCUAGUUGGUGGGGUAAAGGCCUACCAAGGCGACGAUCCGUAACUGGUCUGAGAGGAUGAUCAGUCACACUGGAACUGAGACACGGUCCAGACUCCUACGGGAGGCAGCAGUGGGGAAUAUUGGACAAUGGGCGAAAGCCUGAUCCAGCCAUGCCGCGUGUGUGAAGAAGGUCUUCGGAUUGUAAAGCACUUUAAGUUGGGAGGAAGGGCAGUAAGUUAAUACCUGGCUGUUUUGACGUUACCAACAGAAUAAGCACCGGCUAACUUCGU